UUCCGUAGGUGAACCUGCGAAGGAUCAUUAAUAAAUUUUUUUUGAAAUAAAAAAAAAAUAAUAUCAUCCUACCCUUUGUGAUUUGUUUGUUGAAUAAUUUUUUAAAAUUAUUCAUUGUCUAUCCAAGUGGAAAGUUGAAAAGCUGAAGACUUGGAGCGGCAUAAAUAAUUUAAAGACUUUUUUUAAAAUUAAACUUUUGUAUUCAUUUGUCUAAAUAAUUUUUAUAAUAUAUAAAACAACUUUUGACAAUGGAUCUCUUGGUUCUCGCAACGAUGAAGAACGCAGCAAAAUGCGAUAAGUAAUGUGAAUUGCAGAAUACGUGAAUCAUGAAUCUUCGAACGCAUAUUGCACUUUUUAGUUUACUAAAAAAGUAUGUCUGUUUGAGUAUCAGUAAAUAUUCUCAUAAAAUUUUUAGUUUUAUGGUUAUGAGUGUUUUACAACGAUAAACAAGUUGUUUCACUUUAAAUUGAAUUUUUUUGAAGAAAUUCUUUAAUUCAAAUUAAAUUUGGAUAAAAUUUUCCGUAAAAGGAAUAACUAUACAAGUUUAAUAAGAAUUUAGUGAUUUCUUUUAUGAAAAGGAAAUUUAUUAAAUAACUUGAUCUCAAAUCAGAUAAGAGUACCCGCUGAACUUAAGCAUAUCAAUAAGCGGAGGAAAAGAAACUAACAAGGAUUCCCUAGUAACGGCGAGUGAAGCGGGAAGAGCUCAAAUUUGAAAUCUUAAAGGGUUUCCUUUACGAAUUGUAGUUUAAAGAAGUGUUUUCUGUUGAGGUUUUGGUAAAAGUUCUUUGGAAUAGGACAUCAUAGAGGGUGAGAAUCCCGUAUUGACCUUUACUUUCAACUUUGUGAUACACUUCAAAGAGUCGGAUUGUUUGGGAAUGCAGUCCAAAAUGGGUGGUAAAUUUCAUCUAAAGCUAAAUAUUGGCGAGAGACCGAUAGCGAACAAGUACCGUGAGGAAGAUGAAAAGAACUUUGAAAGAGAGUUAAACAGUACGUGAAAUUGUCAAAAGGGAAGCGUUUGACACCAGUGUUGUUUUUCUGAAAAUCAAUUAAAGAACUGUUUAUGCUAAGCUGUUUAGACUUUAUCAGCUAUCUGUUUAGUUUUGAGCUUUUCUUUAAUGCACUUUUCAGUUAACAAGUCAACAUCAAUUUCUUUUGCUGUAAAAAAGCUUGAGGAAGGUGGCUUGAGAUUCGUCUUAAGUGUUUAUAGCCUCUUGCCUAUGCAGUCGGAGAGAUUGAGGUCUGCAGCGUAGAUCCUUCGGGCUAAAUGCAUUUGUGCUAAGUUAUAGCAUUUUAUAGACAACUUGUUGACUAUGAUUUGUCUUGUAGCUUACUCGCUUAUGUUAUUU
RNAcentral lists this unclassified non-coding RNA (1346 nucleotides) under uncultured Neocallimastigales. RNAcentral describes it as "partial contains small subunit ribosomal RNA, internal transcribed spacer 1, 5.8S ribosomal RNA, internal transcribed spacer 2, and large subunit ribosomal RNA". The stretch from base 597 to 1346 matches the Rfam family "Eukaryotic large subunit ribosomal RNA", at positions 1 to 617 of the family's 3401-position model. The record is from RNAcentral. Lineage: Eukaryota; Fungi; Neocallimastigomycota; Neocallimastigomycetes; Neocallimastigales.